UACAGAGGGUGCAAACGUUGUUCGGAAUUACUGGGCGUAAAGGGCGCGUAGGCGGUCUUGUAAGUCUUGUGUGAAAUCCCUCGGCUUAACUGAGGAACUGCACGAGAUACUGCAAGACUUGAGAUCGGGAGAGGGAAGCGGAAUUCCUGGUGUAGCGGUGAAAUGCGCAGAUAUCAGGAGGAACACCGGUGGCGAAGGCGGUUCUCUGGGCAUUACCUGACGCUGAGGAGCGAAAGUGUGGGGAGCGAACAGG
RNAcentral lists this ribosomal RNA (253 nucleotides) under uncultured bacterium. Its description in RNAcentral is "partial 16S ribosomal RNA". It matches the Rfam family "Bacterial small subunit ribosomal RNA", at positions 524 to 776 of the family's 1533-position model. The record is from RNAcentral.